This 293-nucleotide ribosomal RNA is filed under the name uncultured bacterium. RNAcentral's name for it is "partial 16S ribosomal RNA". It matches the Rfam family "Bacterial small subunit ribosomal RNA", at positions 775 to 1067 of the family's 1533-position model. The record is from RNAcentral.
GGAUUAGAUACCCUGGUAGUCCACGCCGUAAACGAUGACAACUAGCUGUUGGGAGACAAUGUCUUUCAGUGGCGCAGCUAACGUUUUAAGUUGUCCGCCUGGGGAGUACGGACGCAAGUUUAAAACUCAAAGGAAUUGACGGGGGCCCACACAAGCGGUGGAGUAUGUGGUUUAAUUCGACGCAACGCGCAGAACCUUACCCAGUCUUGACAUGCCCUGAAAAACCUAGAGAUAGGUCUUUUUCUUCGGAAACAGGUGCACAGGUGCUGCAUGGCUGUCGUCAGCUCGUGCCG